CAGAGAGCAUGAGGGAACUGAGGAGACGGAGGGCAGGCGAUGAAGAAGAAAAUAUUCUUUGAACCUAUCUUUGGAAGAUCAUUCAAGAAAGAGGGAGUAAUCAAAGAAGUUGUUGGGUUUUGAAACGGGGAUGUUGAUUGUGGAUCAGCUGGUCUUGAUUCAAGAUAAGAAGCAGGGGAUGUUGGUGGCCAUACUUGUUAGACUCCUCCAUUGCUGCUUCCCCAAGCAAUAUAAAGAAAGGAAAUGGUUGAUUUUGGGAGCAAAGAUUGAAUGGGAAAACAAGAAUACAAGUAAAGAAAGAUAAAGAUUUGAGGAAGUGGCAGAGGCAGAGGGUGGGUUAUAGUAAACAAUAGAGGUGAAGUCAAUGAGGUAGUCAAUGCUUAGAUCUUAUCUUAUGGUUGUACAGCUCUGCCUGCUUCACAUUUGCUUUUGAGGUUGGGUUGAUUUGAUAUUUAUGACUAAAUAUUUCUGUUAAUAA
Long non-coding RNA from Gossypium arboreum, 478 nucleotides. RefSeq lists it as uncharacterized. The transcript is spliced from 2 exons. Lineage: Eukaryota; Viridiplantae; Streptophyta; Magnoliopsida; Malvales; Malvaceae. The record is from RefSeq and is a predicted model, not a curated record.